CACCGUCUUUAGUGCAAACACAACGCAGUCCAGAGACUGACUCUAUCUGCAGUAUUCAUAAUUAUAAUGUAUGAAAAAAUUUCAUAAUUAAAAAAAUAUUCACCGCAAUCUUGAGAUAUAUUACUGACCUUGUCAUUCUUACACCUGGUUUAUUAUCAACUUCACGGUCACCAAUUGGAUUCUCCGGAAAUCCCACAUCGAUAUCAUUAUAUAGCAGGCCUGUGUAAUAAUCUUGCGACUGAUAUUGUGUCUCUGAAGGAUAUAAAUCUUUCUCUAUGUAUAGCGACACACAUCCAUAAUGUUCAAACAAUCCAAUUAAUCCCUCCAAUAAUUCAUCAUCUACUAUAUCAUGAGCAAUAUAUUCAUUUACUNUGCAUAUAAUAUUAAUUUAUCAUAAAUUUAUUUAUCUUAUUUAUGGUCAAAUUAGAAUAUAUAAAGUUUAAAUUUGAUUGCGAUAUUAUGCUUUAAAUUAUCGUAUCUAUAUUCUUAUUUUGACCGGAUGAACAUGAAAAUUAAAUAAGCAUAAUUGUUUUUGAUUAUUUAAUAUUUGGCGCUAAGUUGAAUUAAUUUAUUAUUUCGAUUAGUUAGGUGCAAGCCAAAGCGGCCCUAAUUAAAAGAAAUGAUAAUUUAAUUUACUUUAAAGUAGCGUUUUCGAAUAAUUUUCAUGUCUAUCGUGCAGUACUAAGUCAGAUUAAUUUAUUGCUUCAACUGUUCGGGUGCAAGCCAAAGCGGCCCCGACUGGAAGAAAAGAUAAAUUAAUUGCUUUAAAGAUGUGCAUGCAGAAAUUGCACCCUAAUAUUUAGUUUGCUCCCAAAGCAGGUCUAGACAUGAAGGUAAAUAGGUGGUGUAGGAUGAUAAUUUUCUUAUAACUCGUUUGGAGAAAUUUGCCUGGCCAAAGCUGACAAUUUCUUUAUAUGAAAAUUUUGAGAUUAUCACGACCUACAGAAAGUUUAAAUUAAUCUCUGAUAAAGAGAUUGCAUAUUUAUGCUCAUAACUCUGCUCCCAAAGGAGGGGUUGUGAUGUCAUAUAAAGGAUAUGCAUAAGGAAUGAUUCCAUAUUUAUGCUCAUAACUCUGCUCCCAAAGGAAAGGUUGUGAUGUCAUAUAAAGCAUAUGCAUAAAGAACGAAGAAUACUUAUACUCAUAACUCUGCUCUCAAAGGAGGGGUUGUGAUGUCAUAUAAAGUGUAUUUUUUUAAUCUUGGUGUGGUAAUUUUGAUGUGGUAUUUUAUUGAUAAAACAUGCAUUUUUUAUUUUU
RNAcentral lists this long non-coding RNA (1255 nucleotides) under Ananas comosus (pineapple). RNAcentral's name for it is "long non-coding RNA (ACOM_LNC012165)". The record is from RNAcentral. Lineage: Eukaryota; Viridiplantae; Streptophyta; Magnoliopsida; Poales; Bromeliaceae.